GCACUAAUGGGGUAGUGGUAACCUGGGUCGUUGCCAUUCCGAUGUUUGUGUCGACCCGCUGGGGGUUCGAUUCCCCCUUAGUGCA
This is a non-coding RNA of Panus rudis PR-1116 ss-1, 85 nucleotides long. Lineage: Eukaryota; Fungi; Basidiomycota; Agaricomycetes; Polyporales; Panaceae. The record is from the annotation of a GenBank genome assembly.